ACACUGGGACUGAGACACGGCCCAGACUCCUACGGGAGGCAGCAGUGGGGAAUAUUGCGCAAUGGGCGGAAGCCUGACGCAGCGACGCCGCGUGCCGGAUGACGGCCUUCGGGUUGUAAACCUCUUUCACCCAUGACGAAGCGAAAGUGACGGUAGUGGGAGAAGAAGCACCGGCCAACAACGUGCCAGCAGCCGCGGUAAUACGUAGGGUGCAAGCGUUGCCCGGAAUUAUUGGGCGUAAAGAGCUCGUAGGCGGUUUGUUGCGUCGGCUGUGAAAACCUGAGGCUCAACCUCAGGCCUGCCGUCGAUACGGGCAGACUAGAGUGUUGCAGGGGAGACUGGAAUUCCUGGUGUAGCGGUGAAAUGCGCAGAUAUCAGGAGGAACACCGGUGGCGAAGGCGGGUCUCUGGGCAACAACUGACGCUGACGAGCGAAAGCGUGGGGAGCGAACAGGAUUAGAUACCCUGGUAGUCCACGCCGUAAACGUUGGGCGCUAGGUGUGGGGCUCAUUCCACGAGUCCGUGCCGCAGCUAACGCAUUAAGCGCCCCGCCUGGGGAGUACGGCCGCAAGGCUAAACUCAAAGGAAUUGACGGGGGCCCGCACAAGCGGCGGAGCAUGUUGCUUAAUUCGAUGCAACGCGAAGAACCUUACCUAGGCUUGACAUGCACGGAAAUCCUCCAGAGAUGGUGGGUCCGUAAGGGUCGUGCACAGGUGGUGCAUGGUUGUCGUCAGCUCGUGUCGUGAGAUGUUGGGUUAAGUCCCGCAACGAGCGCAACCCUCUUCUAUGUUGCCAGCACGUGAUGGUGGGGACUCAUAGGAGACUGCCGGGUCAACUCGGAGGAAGGUGGGGAUGACGUCAAAUCAUCAUGCCCCUUAUGUCUAGGGCUGCAAACAUGCUACAAUGG
This 906-nucleotide ribosomal RNA is filed under the name uncultured bacterium. RNAcentral's name for it is "bacterial SSU rRNA". It matches the Rfam family "Bacterial small subunit ribosomal RNA", at positions 310 to 1233 of the family's 1533-position model. The record is from RNAcentral.